GUAGGGAAUAUUGGACAAUGGGGGGAACCCUGAUCCAGCCAUGCCGCGUGAAGGAUUAAGGUCCUCUGGAUUGUAAACUUCUUUUAUAAGGGACGAAAAAAGGCUUUUCUAAGUCGUCUGACGGUACCUUAUGAAUAAGCACCGGCUAACUCCGUGCCAGCAGCCGCGGUAAUACGGAGGGUGCAAGCGUUAUCCGGAUUCACUGGGUUUAAAGGGUGCGUAGGCGGGCAGGUAAGUCAGUGGUGAAAUCCUAGAGCUUAACUCUAGAACUGCAAUUGAUACUAUCUGUCUUGAAUAUUGUGGAGGUAAGCGGAAUAUGUCAUGUAGCGGUGAAAUGCUUAGAUAUGACAUAGAACACCUAUUGCGAAGGCAGCUUACUACGCAUAUAUUGACGCUGAGGCACGAAAGCGUGGGGAUCAAACAGGAUUAGAAACCCGUGUAGUCC
RNAcentral lists this ribosomal RNA (445 nucleotides) under uncultured bacterium. Its description in RNAcentral is "partial 16S ribosomal RNA". It matches the Rfam family "Bacterial small subunit ribosomal RNA", at positions 354 to 796 of the family's 1533-position model. The record is from RNAcentral.